This 445-nucleotide ribosomal RNA is filed under the name uncultured bacterium. RNAcentral's name for it is "partial 16S ribosomal RNA". It matches the Rfam family "Bacterial small subunit ribosomal RNA", at positions 354 to 796 of the family's 1533-position model. The record is from RNAcentral.
GUGAGGAAUAUUGGACAAUGGGCGCAAGCCUGAUCCAGCCAUGCCGCGUGCAGGAAGACGCAUCUAUGGUGUGUAAACUGCUUUUGUACGGGAAGAAACACUCCCUCGUGAGGGAGCUUGACGGUACCGUAAGAAUAAGGAUCGGCUAACUCCGUGCCAGCAGCCGCGGUAAUACGGAGGAUCCAAGCGUUAUCCGGAAUCAUUGGGUUUAAAGGGUCCGUAGGCGGUUUAAUAAGUCAGUGGUGAAAGCCCAUCGCUCAACGAUGGAACGGCCAUAGAUACUGUUAGACUUGAAUUACAAGGAAGUAACUAGAAUAUGUAGUGUAGCGGUGAAAUGCUUAGAUAUUACAUGGAAUACCAAUUGCGAAGGCAGGUUACUACUUGUGGAUUGACGCUGAUGGACGAAAGCGUGGGGAGCGAACAGGAUUAGAAACCCGGGUAGUCC